GUGGGGAAUCUUGCGCAAUGGGCGAAAGCCUGACGCAGCGACGCCGCGUGGGGGAUGAAGGCCUUCGGGUCGUAAACCCCUUUCGGCAGGGACGAAGCCUUACGGUGACGGUACCUGCAGAAGAAGCCUCGGCUAACUACGUGCCAGCAGCCGCGGUAAGACGUAGGAGGCGAGCGUUGUCCGGAUUCAUUGGGCGUAAAGCGCGCGUAGGCGGCUUGGCAAGUCGGAUGUGAAAACCCGAGGCUCAACCUCGGGCGUGCAUCCGAAACUGCCAGGCUAGAGGUAGGUAGGGGAGAUCGGAACUCCUGGUGUAGCGGUGAAAUGCGCAGAUAUCAGGAAGAACACCGGUGGCGAAGGCGGAUCUCUGGGCCUUACCUGACGCUGAGGCGCGAAAGCUAGGGGAGCGAACAGGAUUAGAAACCCCAGUAGUCC
This 432-nucleotide ribosomal RNA is filed under the name uncultured bacterium. Its description in RNAcentral is "bacterial SSU rRNA". It matches the Rfam family "Bacterial small subunit ribosomal RNA", at positions 354 to 796 of the family's 1533-position model. The record is from RNAcentral.